AACGAACGCUGGCGGCAGGCUUAACACAUGCAAGUCGAACGCCCCGCAAGGGGAGUGGCAGACGGGUGAGUAACGCGUGGGAACGUGCCCUUCGCUUCGGAAUAGCCCCGGGGAAACUGGGAGUAAUACCGGAUACGCCGUAUUGGGAAAGAUUUAUCGGCGAAGGGAUCGGGCCCGCGUUAGAUUAGCUAGUUGGCGGUGUAAUGGACCACCAAGGCUACGAUCUAUAGCUGGUCUGAGAGGAUGAUCAGCCACACUGGGACUGAGACACGGCCCAGACUCCUACGGGAGGCAGCAGUGGGGAAUCUUGGACAAUGGGCGAAAGCCUGAGUCCAGCCAUGCCGCGUGAGUGAAGAAGGCCUUAGGG
This 367-nucleotide ribosomal RNA is filed under the name uncultured bacterium. RNAcentral's name for it is "bacterial SSU rRNA". It matches the Rfam family "Bacterial small subunit ribosomal RNA", at positions 29 to 422 of the family's 1533-position model. The record is from RNAcentral.